AAAAAGACAAACCCUGGUUUUCGUGUCCAACAUUUAACUGUCCGUCUUAUAUGAAAUUUUUUUAUAAUUAGUAUUUUUAUUGCUGUUAGAUGAUAAAACAUGAUUAGUACUUUAUGCGUGAUUUGUCUUUUUAUUUUUUUCAUAUUUUUUUAAAUAAAACGGACGGUCAAACGUUGGACAUGGAAACUCAGGUUUGUCUCUUUU
This 204-nucleotide microRNA precursor is filed under the name Oryza meridionalis. Its description in RNAcentral is "MIR812 microRNA precursor family". It matches the Rfam family "MIR812 microRNA precursor family". Lineage: Eukaryota; Viridiplantae; Streptophyta; Magnoliopsida; Poales; Poaceae. The record is from Rfam by way of RNAcentral.